Molecule: long non-coding RNA, 2555 nt
Organism: Zophobas morio
Lineage: Eukaryota; Metazoa; Arthropoda; Insecta; Coleoptera; Tenebrionidae
Exons: 5
Source: RefSeq, a predicted model, not a curated record
AAAAAAUUACCGAUCAGCUUAAAAGUAGCGAUAUUUGGAGUGGUAAUGUUUUAUAUGAAGGACUAUUUAGUUUCUGAAAGAAGAUCAAAACUAUGGUGCAAAGAGAAAAUGGAAAUGUGGAAUCCCAGGCGUCCACUUCAUUGACAAUUAAAGAAACAACUGAUAAAGACAACAGAUUAGAAACACAAAGUAACUUAUUUUAGGGUCGUUGUUCGCUAGCAAUGCCAGCGCUGUAUAAACAACUUGACAACGUCGCGUACCUUGUCCAAUUUGACAGUUUGAAAUUGCCGCACAAACGACAAUUUAACUUUUCAGUUUUUUUCUGUACGUAAUAAGGCAAUAAUUGCAAAAGUAAGCAUAUAUGGCAGUUUAUUAUCCCGUUCGUAUUUAUUGGCCGCGUUUACUUUUGACGUAGAUGUCCGCAAAAAAGGAUAAGCGUGUCAGAGGGGGCAAUUUUUCAGAGGAGGAUAAGACGUUCCUCGUACAAUUUGUGGUAGACAAUGCCGAUAUUUGGGAAUCGAAAGCGAGCGAUCCGCGGAUUAACAUAAAAAAACAGCAACUGUGGAAGGCAUUGGCCGAAAAAUUCAGGGCACGGGGGCAGUAUAGAGAGCCAGCAAAAUUGCAGAUGCUGUACUUUCGUUUAAAAUAGCUUGCAAAAACAACAAUUGCAGCCUACCAAAGGUCACAACAUCAAACAAGUGGCGGUCCUUCCACUCCCGAAGAUCCAACAGACUUUUGGACUGGAUCAUUGCAGAUAUAUCUGCAGUAGAUUUUACUGCAGAUGUGUCUGCAUAUGAUUCCGAGGGGAAGACCGCCACUGAAGUUGUCAGAGCUGAGAUAGCCAAUGCCCCCGAAGAAUGUACGGGGCCAAUAGAUCCCAUAGCGGGAGAAAUUGAAAUAACACAAACUGUUCCCGAACCGUUGCAUGCAGAAACACCUUCCUUGUCGCCGUCUGCAACACCAGUGAGGCCAGUUGCGCCUACCACCCAUAAACGAAACAAACGCAAAAAGCCUAUGAGUGAAUUUGAAGAGAGCAUGCUCAAGUUGCAUGAGCGACAUAUAGAACAAAAAAUUGAAAUGGAAAGAGACAUUUAUUCCAAAGAAUUGGAACUUUUAAAUUUAAAAAUUAAAGCCAAAGCGUGGGCACCGGCAAAGGAGAAGACGAAAUUGUAUCGGCCCUUUUCCUGUAAGAUCGUCAAACUUUCGUAGUGAUUUUCCGUGCUAACACAUCUUCAAAACCACAUUGGAAAUAGUAUCCGGCACUCCGGCAGCAGAGCAAGUGCCUGUGACAACAAACCGGCUGCACAAUUCCCGCUAUUUUUGCCGAUUAGGCAUACUUUCACAUUCAAGCAGAUAACCAAUCGAGUGAAAUUCAAGCCAUAUCAACACACCGGGGGACCUAUAAAAUGAAUCGUCUAUCUUUCGGUAUCAAAACAGCCCAAUCAGAGUUUAACCGGAUCAUCGAUCAAAUUUUGCGGAAUAUACCAAAAACAGAGAAGUAUUUUGACGACAUAUUAGUCCACGGUUCAACCAGAGAGGAGUGACAAAUGAACUUGAUCACCUGUUUUACCCAGCUGGGAAAAUAUGAUCUACAUUUGAAUCACCAUGCCUCAACAAUUACAGCGCCAUUGCGACAUCUGUUGAAAGACAAUGUUGUUUUCAAAUGGACACCAGAAUGCGAAACGGCGUUGGUGAAGUUAAAACAAGAAAUCGUGAGUGAUCGAGUCGUAAUGCCAUUCAAUCCAGGUUCAACUCGCUUGUGACGCUAGUCCCACAGGUAUCUCAGCCGUUUUGUCAUACAUAAUAGACGAUCAAGAAAGACCAAUUGCUUUCGCAUCUCGUUCAUUAACCCUUACGCUCCACAAUCUCACAAUUGUGUCUAAUAUUUGCUAUAUAUAAGGGUUAUAAUGUGGUUAUAAAUUGGUAAAUCCCGCAUCGCAUGAUUGUGCUAGUUCGGAGCUAUGCAAUGGUAUCCAAUUUCUUGGAAAUUUAUUGUUUUGAAUAGUCACAAGACGGUCACUUUUAAACUCACAACUGUGUUUUCGCUUCUGCCAUGGCCGCCAGAAGUAAGAUCAAAAUAAAUUAUUAACUUAGAAAACCUGAGUGAUGAUCCAGAUGCCAUAUUAAAUCUUCUAGAUGAAAUUGAUUCUGAUUUAGAGCUAGGUGAUGAUGAUUCUGAUUGGGAACAUGAACCAGAAAUAAACAAUUCUUCCGACUCUAGCACAGCUUCAGAUACUGAUGACGAUAACCUUUCAAAUCCAAGCGGUGUAGAACCUAUUGCACAAGCGUCCUGGCAAAGAAGAUAUUUCACUUCAAAGGAAAUUCCUCAUUAAUCUGUUCUGGCUGCCACCGAAGUUUUAACUCCAUGGGCUUACUUUAGCAAAUACUUGGGAGAAGAUUUCUUAGAAUUGGCGGCAAAUAAAACCGGACAAUACUAUUUACAGAAAACAGGUGUAGAAAUGAAGCCUUCUGUAACAUCAGAAGAAAUAAAAUAAUUCUUUGGAAUUCAUGCUGUCAUAGGAUGUAUUAAAUAUCCAAGAAUACACAUAUAUUGG